Non-coding RNA from Monodelphis domestica (gray short-tailed opossum), 1111 nucleotides. The record is from RefSeq and is a predicted model, not a curated record. NCBI's taxonomy places the organism in Eukaryota, Metazoa, Chordata, Mammalia, Didelphimorphia, Didelphidae.
GGGUCCUGGAUGGUGAAGAAAAAGAGAGGGUUAGGUGGGGCUUUCAAGGGGCUUCUGGAGAGAUGGAGAUACUAUGAGGAGGAGAUGGACUAGAGGGGACUCUGGAGUCUAGGGCAUCAAGGACAUGGCUGCUUUGUGAGUGGCAUGUGUUUAAAUGAACUGAAUUAUAUGGGUGAUAGCUGAACACUAGAAAAUAAGGCCAUCCCUGGAAAUUGCCACAAAGAGCCCUGGCUCUUUAAGCUGUUUUAGUGUGCGUGGGGGUGUGGUGGUGUCCAUUUGAAUGGGCGCCUCCUCUGGUGGCCUUCUACUCUUUCUUGCCCACUAGUCAUUUGGGUUUCCUUGGGUUCUCCCUGGAUGCUUAUGGGGUUGCAUCAGCUGAAUGCUGGAAGUUGCAGUAGAUCUGUAAUCUUACUUGUCUUCCAUCUCUGUCAAUUCCCACAGCAAGCCUUCAGGACCUUUGCUCCUUACCUUUAGGUUCUGAAAUUCCUUCUCCUCCUCCUUGAGGACCUCCAGCUGCUUCAGAACUGAGUCCUGCUGGAAUUCCCCUCGAUCCAUCUGCAAUGCAAAGGAGGCUUUUCAGUGGAAGAGAGAUGAGUCAACACUUCCAUUUUUUCUCAGAGGCCCCUUUAGCUAAUGACAUUCUAAAGAUAGCCAGCAGAGGGAGCCCUUGCCUAACACAAACAACAUCACCCUGGAAACUGUUGCUUAGAAGAGGAUGGAGGAGAGCGGAUGGACCCACAGAUGCCCAACCACCAAGGAUCCUGCCGGUUCACCUUGUCAACCAGGACUUGUGGGCGCUAGUGGGGCAUUUGGGCUUCCAACUCCACCCAAAUGCUCCCCUGUGAAUAAUCAUAAUAUUCAUCUGGUGCUUUAUUUUGUUCUUGUUUACUAAUAUUUUAUUUUUCCUCAAUUACAUGAAAAAACAUUUUUAACCUUAACUAUCUUUAAGUGUAAGCCAGACUCUCACCUUCCCUCUCUCCCAUUCCCUCCCCAAGACAGCAAGCUGUCUAAUAUAUAUUUUACAUGCAUAAUACUAUAAAACAUCUUUUUCCAUUUUAGAACUUUUGUGAAAGAGAACUUGAACAAAUAAAAGAGAAAAAAUAAAGUGAAA